AUGUGCUAUUGUCUUCUUUACACAGUAAAAUCAAAGUGAAGCCGACCGAUUUGCCAUUUAAGAUUUAUCACAUCUGGAAAGUCUCAUAUUCCUAAAGUGAAGUGUCUGGUCCAUUGAAUAUCACAACUGGAAGUUUUUUUACGCUUUACAAAGAUAGCAAAGUGUUUCUGCCGUCUUGGUUUGCAUCUUGUAAGAGUGCUGGUCACCCUAAAUGAAGGUGUAUCGGGUUAGCUUGACAUUAAAGCACUGGUUGGGGGGAGGGGUCAUUCAUGUUACAGGCACCUGAUAUGGGAUGACAGAUACAUUGAAGAUCAAAUUGUGUCAAGAUUAGGAUGGACACAAAGACAUAAUGAAACUGGUGUAAUAAAUGGAUGUCAAACACUGGUUCUAUAAAAGGAUGUCAAAACACUUGAUAAAGGAUAAGGAUGGUCCAGCUCCUCUAUUCACUACAAUGGUGCAGGCAAUACAACUACAUUAUCUCAUCAGAUGGUUUCAAAUACUUAGCUCACAUUUUUGGACCAUAUAGUGUC
RNAcentral lists this long non-coding RNA (530 nucleotides) under Helianthus annuus (common sunflower). Lineage: Eukaryota; Viridiplantae; Streptophyta; Magnoliopsida; Asterales; Asteraceae. The record is from RNAcentral.